AUUGAACGCUGGCGGCAUGCUUUACACAUGCAAGUCGAACGGCAGCGCGGGCUUCGGCCUGGCGGCGAGUGGCGAACGGGUGAGUAAUGCAUCGGAACGUGCCCAGUAGUGGGGGAUAGCCCGGCGAAAGCCGGAUUAAUACCGCAUACGACCUGAGGGUGAAAGCGGGGGACCGAAAGGCCUCGCGCUAUUGGAGCGGCCGAGGUCGGAUUAGCUAGUUGGUGGGGUAAAGGCUUACCAAGGCGACGAUCCGUAGCUGGUCUGAGAGGACGACCAGCCACCCUGGGACUGGGCCACGGCCCAGACUCCUACGGGAGGCAGCAGUGGGGAAUGUUGGACAAUGGGGGCAACCCUGAUCCAACCAUGCCGCGUGCGGGAAGAAGGCCUUCGGGUUGUAAACCGCUUUUGUUCGGGAAGAAAUCCUCUGGGCUAAUACCCCGGGGGGAUGACGGUACCGGAAGAAUAAGCACCGGCUAACUACGUG
This 484-nucleotide ribosomal RNA is filed under the name uncultured bacterium. Its description in RNAcentral is "partial 16S ribosomal RNA". It matches the Rfam family "Bacterial small subunit ribosomal RNA", at positions 28 to 507 of the family's 1533-position model. The record is from RNAcentral.